UUAAGCGACUAAGCGUACACGGUGGAUGCCCUGGCAGUCAGAGGCGAUGAAGGACGUGCUAAUCUGCGAUAAGCGUCGGUAAGGUGAUAUGAACCGUUAUAACCGGCGAUUUCCGAAUGGGGAAACCCAGUGUGAUUCGUCACACUAUCAUUAACUGAAUCCAUAGGUUAAUGAGGCGAACCGGGGGAACUGAAACAUCUAAGUACCCCGAGGAAAAGAAAUCAACCGAGAUUCCCCCAGUAGCGGCGAGCGAACGGGGAGCAGCCCAGAGCCUGAAUCAGUGUGUGUGUUAGUGGAAGCGUCUGGAAAGGCGUGCGAUACAGGGUGACAGCCCCGUACACAAAAAUGCACAUGCUGUGAGCUCGAUGAGUAGGGCGGGACACGUGGUAUCCUGUCUGAAUAUGGGGGGACCAUCCUCCAAGGCUAAAUACUCCUGACUGACCGAUAGUGAACCAGUACCGUGAGGGAAAGGCGAAAAGAACCCCGGCGAGGGGAGUGAAAAAGAACCUGAAACCGUGUACGUACAAGCAGUGGGAGCCUCUUUAUGGGGUGACUGCGUACCUUUUGUAUAAUGGGUCAGCGACUUAUAUUCUGUAGCAAGGUUAACCGAAUAGGGGAGCCGAAGGGAAACCGAGUCUUAACUGGGCGUUAAGUUGCAGGGUAUAGACCCGAAACCCGGUGAUCUAGCCAUGGGCAGGUUGAAGGUUGGGUAACACUAACUGGAGGACCGAACCGACUAAUGUUGAAAAAUUAGCGGAUGACUUGUGGCUGGGGGUGAAAGGCCAAUCAAACCGGGAGAUAGCUGGUUCUCCCCGAAAGCUAUUUAGGUAGCGCCUCGUGAAUUCAUCUCCGGGGGUAGAGCACUGUUUCGGCAAGGGGGUCAUCCCGACUUACCAACCCGAUGCAAACUGCGAAUACCGGAGAAUGUUAUCACGGGAGACACACGGCGGGUGCUAACGUCCGUCGUGAAGAGGGAAACAACCCAGACCGCCAGCUAAGGUCCCAAAGUCAUGGUUAAGUGGGAAACGAUGUGGGAAGGCCCAGACAGCCAGGAUGUUGGCUUAGAAGCAGCCAUCAUUUAAAGAAAGCGUAAUAGCUCACUGGUCGAGUCGGCCUGCGCGGAAGAUGUAACGGGGCUAAACCAUGCACCGAAGCUGCGGCAGCGACACUAUGUGUUGUUGGGUAGGGGAGCGUUCUGUAAGCCGUUGAAGGUGUGCUGUGAGGCAUGCUGGAGGUAUCAGAAGUGCGAAUGCUGACAUAAGUAACGAUAAAGCGGGUGAAAAGCCCGCUCGCCGGAAGACCAAGGGUUCCUGUCCAACGUUAAUCGGGGCAGGGUGAGUCGACCCCUAAGGCGAGGCCGAAAGGCGUAGUCGAUGGGAAACAGGUUAAUAUUCCUGUACUUGGUGUUACUGCGAAGGGGGGACGGAGAAGGCUAUGUUGGCCGGGCGACGGUUGUCCCGGUUUAAGCGUGUAGGCUGAUUUUCCAGGCAAAUCCGGAGAAUCAAGGCUGAGGCGUGAUGACGAGGCACUACGGUGCUGAAGCAACAAAUGCCCUGCUUCCAGGAAAAGCCUCUAAGCAUCAGGUAACAUCAAAUCGUACCCCAAACCGACACAGGUGGUCAGGUAGAGAAUACCAAGGCGCUUGAGAGAACUCGGGUGAAGGAACUAGGCAAAAUGGUGCCGUAACUUCGGGAGAAGGCACGCUGAUAUGUAGGUGAAGCGACUUGCUCGUGGAGCUGAAAUCAGUCGAAGAUACCAGCUGGCUGCAACUGUUUAUUAAAAACACAGCACUGUGCAAACACGAAAGUGGACGUAUACGGUGUGACGCCUGCCCGGUGCCGGAAGGUUAAUUGAUGGGGUCAGCCGCAAGGCGAAGCUCUUGAUCGAAGCCCCGGUAAACGGCGGCCGUAACUAUAACGGUCCUAAGGUAGCGAAAUUCCUUGUCGGGUAAGUUCCGACCUGCACGAAUGGCGUAAUGAUGGCCAGGCUGUCUCCACCCGAGACUCAGUGAAAUUGAACUCGCUGUGAAGAUGCAGUGUACCCGCGGCAAGACGGAAAGACCCCGUGAACCUUUACUAUAGCUUGACACUGAACAUUGAGCCUUGAUGUGUAGGAUAGGUGGGAGGCUUUGAAGUGUGGACGCCAGUCUGCAUGGAGCCGACCUUGAAAUACCACCCUUUAAUGUUUGAUGUUCUAACGUGGACCCGUGAUCCGGGUUGCGGACAGUGUCUGGUGGGUAGUUUGACUGGGGCGGUCUCCUCCUAAAGAGUAACGGAGGAGCACGAAGGUUGGCUAAUCCUGGUCGGACAUCAGGAGGUUAGUGCAAUGGCAUAAGCCAGCUUGACUGCGAGCGUGACGGCGCGAGCAGGUGCGAAAGCAGGUCAUAGUGAUCCGGUGGUUCUGAAUGGAAGGGCCAUCGCUCAACGGAUAAAAGGUACUCCGGGGAUAACAGGCUGAUACCGCCCAAGAGUUCAUAUCGACGGCGGUGUUUGGCACCUCGAUGUCGGCUCAUCACAUCCUGGGGCUGAAGUAGGUCCCAAGGGUAUGGCUGUUCGCCAUUUAAAGUGGUACGCGAGCUGGGUUUAGAACGUCGUGAGACAGUUCGGUCCCUAUCUGCCGUGGGCGCUGGAGAACUGAGGGGGGCUGCUCCUAGUACGAGAGGACCGGAGUGGACGCAUCACUGGUGUUCGGGUUGUCAUGCCAAUGGCACUGCCCGGUAGCUAAAUGCGGAAGAGAUAAGUGCUGAAAGCAUCUAAGCACGAAACUUGCCCCGAGAUGAGUUCUCCCUGAGACUUUAAGUCUCCUGAAGGAACGUUGAAGACGACGACGUUGAUAGGCCGGGUGUGUAAGCGCAGCGAUGCGUUGAGCUAACCGGUACUAAUGAACCGUGAGGCUUAACCUU
This 2902-nucleotide ribosomal RNA is filed under the name Escherichia marmotae. RNAcentral describes it as "23S ribosomal RNA". It matches the Rfam family "Bacterial large subunit ribosomal RNA". Lineage: Bacteria; Pseudomonadati; Pseudomonadota; Gammaproteobacteria; Enterobacterales; Enterobacteriaceae. The record is from RNAcentral.